Molecule: non-coding RNA, 594 nt
Organism: Chelonia mydas (Green sea turtle)
Lineage: Eukaryota; Metazoa; Chordata; Testudines; Cheloniidae
Source: Rfam
AUGAAAGUGGGGCGACAUGAUCUUUCUGACUUUUUUGGGUUUUAAACAGGGAUAACUGGCUUGUGGAGACCAAGUGUUCAUAGUCAUGUUGCUUUUUGAUACUUCAAUGUCGGCUCUUCCUAUCACUGUGAUGCAGAAUUCACCAAGCGUUGGCUGGUUCAUCCACUAAUAGGGAACAUGAGCUCGGUUUCAGCUGUUGCAAGACAGGUUCGUUUUACCCUGCUGAUGAUGUGUGGUUGCAAUAGCAAUCCUGUUCAGUCAUAGGGGAACUGCAGAUUCAAACAUUUGGUAUAUGUGCUUGGAUGAGGUGCCAUUGGGGUGAAGCUCCCAUCUGCGGGAUUAUGACUGAAUGCUGUGGAGCCUUGUUUGGCUCUGGAGGGCUGGCCACACACUCCAGGGGAUAGGUUAGGUCAUCAUAUGGAGAGCCAUUCAUGGAGGGACUGGAGUGCGAACAGAAGGGAGCCACCUCUGACUCAUAGUGGGCUGCAUGUUCAUGGUCUCAUAGAUGAGCUGCUUAUGGGUCAGGGUUUCAUGUGUAGCAGAGCAGCUACCUCACUGUGAUCUGUGUAAAGUCAGCCUCUGAUAUAAGACUUU